GGCGGAAUGAGCUGUCCACAGCAGCACUGGGUGCCGCCCGAGGUCACGCAAGAAUCUGGCGGGAGGCUGGGAAGCAAGGGGUUGAAGUUUGUUCCCCAAGCUGAUACAGAGGACACAGUUCAGUCUUGGCGUCACUCACUGUGUGGUGGCUCAGUUAAUAUUAAUUAACUCUGAGGACAAGCUGCACUUUGACUCACCUCUGGCUAAUUAAAUAAACCUGGCAUGUAAAUCAGCAG
This 236-nucleotide long non-coding RNA is filed under the name Homo sapiens (human). RNAcentral's name for it is "HSALNT0095235". Lineage: Eukaryota; Metazoa; Chordata; Mammalia; Primates; Hominidae. The record is from RNAcentral.